Odocoileus virginianus texanus is the source of this 1077-nucleotide non-coding RNA. The record is from RefSeq and is a predicted model, not a curated record. Lineage: Eukaryota; Metazoa; Chordata; Mammalia; Artiodactyla; Cervidae.
UUUACUCAGUGCCAGGCACUCUAUGGUCUUUAUGUACAUUUUCUCAUCUAGCCCACUUAACAACCCUAUGAGGCAGAUACUACUUUAGAUCUUUUCCCUCCCCCCCAGAGGAGGAAACUGAAGAGUUGAGAUGGUUAUAUAUUGUACACAGGGGUAAUACAGCUAAUAAAUUCAUAGUGGAACCAGAGUUGAAACCGAGUCUGCCUCCUCUAGAUCCCAUACUCUUAACCAUGACCUUUUACUGCCAAAUGUCUAAUUAAACUUUGCUUUGUGAUUUCAAAGACAGCCCCAGAAAUGUGAAUUACAGUGGUAAAAAUGGAACCUGUUCCAGCCUAUAAAUGAACUAAAUGAAAUUUUUAAGAAUCCAAGGAUUGCUUCUGAAGGAAUGAAGUAAAAAAAGAUGAUUCAUUAAAAAUUUCAGAGUAGAAAAACAGAGUUGAACAUAAUCUAAACUACUACAAGACAAAACUUAUUUACCUAUAUAUCAGAAGUUAUAAAAGAAAAUACAUUUAGCUGAAAAGUUCCAUAACAGUCCCAGAAAGAUCAUCUUCUAUUUGCUGUGUAUCCUGGAGGUGACAGAUAAUGCUGAUAAUGAUGACUAAAUGUUCACUGGCUUCUCCCUACUGAGACCUACCUUCCCCUAGAGCUGUUCUCAUCUUCCCACUGGUUAACAUUCAGAAGGUGAAUCAUCUCAAGUUGAGUAACUUGUUCUGAGUAAAAUAAUGACUCACUGAAUGAAGCCUGAAAUACCAUCCAGCUUCUGGUAGAUCCCCAUACCUCUCUGUGGACUAUUUUAUUUACAAGUCUCCUUCUAAAGUCUGUUUCCAUGAUUUUGAAAAAAUUGCAUUUCUUUAAGAAUAUAUGCAUUGUGAAACAUAAGCAAUAGCAUCUUUCAGCAACUGAAAAUUCACAGUAUGAAGGAUCUUACUUCCCUGACUGACCAGGGAUGGAAACCGUGCCCCCUGCAGUGGAAACAUGGAGACUUAACCAGUAAACCACCACCACAGAUCUGUUCUAUGUCACUGUAGAUUAGUUAUUUUUCCCCCUAGAAUUUCAUAUAAAUGGAAUCAUAUGGUA